AGAGUUUGAUCUUGGCUCAGAUUGUACGCUGGCGGCAUGCCUUACACAUGCAAGUCGAACGGCAGCACGGGAGCUUGCUCCUGGUGGCGAGUGGCGAACGGGUGAGUAAUAUAUCGGAACGUACCCUAGAGUGGGGGAUAACGCAGCGAAAGUUGCGCUAAUACCGCAUACGAUCUACGGAUGAAAGUGGGGGAUCGCAAGACCUCAUGCUCAUGGAGCGGCCGAUAUCUGAUUAGCUAGUUGGUGGGGUAAAGGCCUACCAAGGCAUCGAUCAGUAGCUGGUCUGAGAGGACGACCAGCCACACUGGAACUGAGACACGGUCCAGACUCCUACGGGAGGCAGCAGUGGGGAAUUUUGGACAAUGGGGGCAACCCUGAUCCAGCAAUGCCGCGUGAGUGAAGAAGGCCUUCGGGUUGUAAAGCUCUUUUGUCAGGGAAGAAACGGUGAGGGCUAAUAUCCUUUGCUAAUGACGGUACCUGAAGAAUAAGCACCGGCUAACUACGUGCCAGCAGCCGCGGUAAUACGUAGGGUGCAAGCGUUAAUCGGAAUUACUGGGCGUAAAGCGUGCGCAGGCGGUUAUGUAAGUCAGAUGUGAAAUCCCCGGGCUCAACCUGGGAAUGGCAUUUGAGACUGCAUGGCUAGAGUGUGUCAGAGGGGGGUAGAAUUCCACGUGUAGCAGUGAAAUGCGUAGAGAUGUGGAGGAAUACCGAUGGCGAAGGCAGCCCCCUGGGAUAACACUGACGCUCAUGCACGAAAGCGGGGGGAGCAAAAAGGAUUAGAUACCCUGGUAGUCCACGCCCUAAACCCAUAUAGGAGUUGUCGGGACUUAAUUGUCUUGGUAACGCAGCUAACGCGUGAAGUAGACCGCCCGGGGAGUACGGUCGCAAAAUUAAAACUCAAAGGAAUUGACGGGGACCCGCACAACCGGUGGAUGAUGUGGAUUAAUUCGAUGCAACGCGAAAAACCUUACCUACCCUUGACAUAUACGGAACCUCUGAGAGAUUAGAGGGUGCUCGAAAGAGAGCCGUAACACAGGUGCUGCAUGGCUGUCGUCAGCUCGUGUCGUGAGAUGUUGGGUUAAGUCCCGCAACGAGCGCAACCCUUGUCAUUAGUUGCUACGAAAGGGCACUCUAAUGAGACUGCCGGUGACAAACCGGAGGAAGGUGGGGAUGACGUCAAGUCCUCAUGGCCCUUAUGGGUAGGGCUUCACACGUCAUACAAUGGUACAUACAGAGGGCCGCCAACCCGCGAGGGGGAGCUAAUCCCAGAAAGAGUAUCGUAGUCCGGAUUGUAGUCUGCAACUCGACUACAUGAAGUUGGAAUCGCUAGUAAUCGCGGAUCAGCAUGUCGCGGUGAAUAAGUUCCCGGGUCUUGCACACACCGCC
Molecule: ribosomal RNA, 1386 nt
Filed under: uncultured bacterium
Lineage: Bacteria
Description: bacterial SSU rRNA
Rfam family: Bacterial small subunit ribosomal RNA
Source: RNAcentral